UUAGUUACCAGCACGUUAUGGUGGGCACUCUAAGGAGGACUGCCGGUGGACAAACCGGAGGAAGUGGGGAUGACGUCAAGUCAUCAUGGCCUUACGGCCUGGGCUACACACGUGCUACAAUGGUCGGUACAAAAGGGUUGCCAAGCCGCGAGGUGGAGCUAAUCCCAUAAAACCGAUCGUAGUCCGGAUCGCAGUCUGCAACUCGACUGCGUGAAGUCGGAAUCGCUAGUAAUCGUGAAUCAGAAUGUCACGGUGAAUACGUUCCCGGGCCUU
Molecule: ribosomal RNA, 273 nt
Filed under: uncultured Pseudomonas sp.
Lineage: Bacteria; Pseudomonadati; Pseudomonadota; Gammaproteobacteria; Pseudomonadales; Pseudomonadaceae
Description: partial 16S ribosomal RNA
Rfam family: Bacterial small subunit ribosomal RNA
Source: RNAcentral